Molecule: long non-coding RNA, 380 nt
Filed under: Sorghum bicolor (sorghum)
Lineage: Eukaryota; Viridiplantae; Streptophyta; Magnoliopsida; Poales; Poaceae
Description: long non-coding RNA (SBIC_LNC001435)
Source: RNAcentral
UGAUUGUACCAGGCCUCUAUGUGGCCCUAUUUGUACUUUGUUUCAGGCUCUACUCCAAGAAGACCUCAACUCUGUAUCCAUCUUAGCAGCUUCUUGCUGCGGGUAAUAAAUUUUAUCGCAAUUGUCAAAAAAAACAUGGUUUUGGUUUUUUUUCCUUAAACGCAUACCAUUACUAGUUGACUUGCGGCUAGUAGCUCUUCUUCUCAGCCCUAGUGUUGCAUGGCUUUAUUUCACCAGUGAAGCUGUUUUUGUUUGCUUCAGCUCUAUAAACGGCUCUAUCGAUAAAGUUGAAGCCGUUUGAUGAAUCGUUUAGCAAAAUAGCUCAAUGUAUAGAGUUUUUUAAAAUAUACUCUCACGAAAUGCCACAUAGGAUGAGGUGA